AGAGUUUGAUCCUGGUUCAGGACGAACGCUGGCGGCGUGCCUAACACAUGCAGUCGAACGAAGCAGUUGCUUCACCAAGUGUUGAACGAAGUACCCCAAGCGCAUUUUGCUGAAGGUAACAAGAAUAAAGUUUAACCAAAAAAGAUAAAAGUAAAUAAAUUAGAUAAAAGCGAGAAUGCGCUUCACACUAAUUUAAAGUACCAACACUUUUACAAAAAAACAUUCAUUCAAUGUUUGGUGAAGUAACUUGCUUAGUGGCGGACGGGUGAGUAACGCGUGAACAAUCUGCCCUGUACAAAGGAAUAGCCUCGGGAAACCGGGAUUAAAACCAUAUAACACUUAAGAGUCGCAUGAUUCAUAAGUCAAAUUGAUUAAGAGGUAUAGGAUGAGUUCGCGUCUGAUUAGCUAGUUGGUGAGGUAAUGGCUCACCAAGGCGACGAUCAGUAGCCGGCCUGAGAGGGUGAACGGCCACACUGGAACUGAGACACGGUCCAGACUCCUACGGGAGGCAGCAGUGGGGAAUCUUCCGCAAUGGGCGAAAGCCUGACGGAGCAACGCCGCGUGAAUGAUGAAGGCCUUCGGGUUGUAAAAUUCUGUCUUCAGGGAAGAAAAAAAUGACGGUACCUGAGGAGGAAGCCCCGGCUAACUACGUGCCAGCAGCCGCGGUAAUACGUAGGGGGCGAGCGUUGUCCGGAAUUACUGGGCGUAAAGGGCGCGUAGGCGGUUUAUUAAGUCAGAGGUGAAAGCUCCCGGCUCAACCGGGGGACUGCCUUUGAAACUGGUAGACUUGAGGGCAGGAGAGGGGAGUGGAAUUCCCGGUGUAGCGGUGAAAUGCGUAGAUAUCGGGAGGA
This 851-nucleotide ribosomal RNA is filed under the name uncultured Eubacteriales bacterium. RNAcentral's name for it is "bacterial SSU rRNA". It matches the Rfam family "Bacterial small subunit ribosomal RNA", at positions 8 to 705 of the family's 1533-position model. The record is from RNAcentral. Lineage: Bacteria; Bacillati; Bacillota; Clostridia; Eubacteriales.